RNAcentral lists this ribosomal RNA (245 nucleotides) under uncultured bacterium. Its description in RNAcentral is "partial 16S ribosomal RNA". It matches the Rfam family "Bacterial small subunit ribosomal RNA", at positions 524 to 768 of the family's 1533-position model. The record is from RNAcentral.
UACGGAGGGUGCGAACGUUAAUCGGAAUUACUGGGCGUAAAGCGCACGUAGGCGGUUCGUUAAGUGAGAUGUGAAAUCCCCGGGCUUAACCUGGGAACUGCAUUUCAUACUGGCGAACUAGAGUCUGGUAGAGGGGGGUGGAAUUUCCUGUGUAGCGGUGAAAUGCGUAGAUAUAGGAAGGAACAUCAGUGGCGAAGGCGGCCCCCUGGAUCAAGACUGACGCUGAGGUGCGAAAGCGUGGGGAG